CGCACUGCGGCCGCCUCGCCUUGGCUGGGGAGAACCUCGAGUCUAGCUUUGUACCAGGCUGCAGUGCAGUAGUGCCAUCUCAGCUCACUGCAACCUCUGCCUCCCGGGUUCAAGAGAUUGUCCUGCCUCAGCCUCCCGAGUAGCUGGGAUUACAGGCACAUGCCACCACACCCAGCUAAUGUUUGUAUUUUUAGUAGACACGGGGUUUCAUCAUGUUGCCCAGGAUGGUCUCAAUUUCCUGACCUCGUGAUCCGCACAUCUCGGCCUCCCAAAAUGCUGGGAUUACAGGCAUGAGCCACCAGAACCGGACAUGCUUUCCUUAAAAGCUAAAUAUUUUAGGCUUGUGUGCCAUUAGGCUCUGUUACAACUACUUAAUUCUGCUUUUGUAAUUCUAUAGCACCCAUUGAUAAUACAUAAACAAAUGAGCAUGAAUGUAUCUCAGUAAAAAUUUGUUCACAUAAACAGGCAGUCCACCCAUGAAGCUAUAGCUUGCUGACCCCUUGUUUAAACAAUCAAUUGAAUUCAAACAGAAAUAAAAGGAUCUUAUAUAUUUAACCAUGUUGAUACCAUUUCCAGUGCUUUUCAUUCUUCUAUGUAGAUCCAAAUUUCCUUUUGAU
This 617-nucleotide long non-coding RNA is filed under the name Homo sapiens (human). RNAcentral describes it as "non-protein coding lnc-KCNE1B-1:2". The record is from RNAcentral. Lineage: Eukaryota; Metazoa; Chordata; Mammalia; Primates; Hominidae.